AAAAUACUCACGAAGCCGGGCGUAGUGGCGGUCGCCUGUGGUCCCAGCUACUGGGGAGGCUGAGGUGACUCGAACGGAUUUGACAUAACCCUCACGUGCAUGGAGAAGCUUAGAGCAGUAAUCUGUGGAAGUAAAACAAUGAAACAGCUGGGCAAAGACACACACAGGUGAGAGAGACGAAGAGAAUGGCCUCUGGUUUCUGCUGAGCUUCUACUCCCUGGUUCUGCCCCCUACCCCGUUCACUUUUACCUUUGAGAUACCCCCAUAAUCUUAGAAUAAACGUACAUUUUUUGCUUAAGCUAUUAGCCUCCUGAAACUUGGAAUUGAAAAGACUAUGGCUACAGCCCUAGGAUCUAACAGAUGAAAAAUGUACAAUGUCACCAGUAACGUAGGUGGUAAAACAAACAUUUCUUUGAAUGCAGCAAGUUAGAAAGGGAUGGGACACAUUGCCCAAGGCCACCAAUACUAAGAGCAGCAGAUACACAAAUAGCCCAUAAAAAAGAAAUGUUUCUAUGAAAAGCAGAGCCAAGAACUCCAAAACAACUCAUCAGUCUGGGACCAUUUAGUUUAGAGGCCAGUGGUGACAGCCCUCAGUGUGCCUUUAGGGCGUCAUUUGGUUAUAGUUAUGUAAGACUGACAUUUGUUACCAUGGCCUUGAGUCGCAAAAGGCCAGUCAGAUGAGACAGUGUCAUUUGUUCAGAAGAACCCUUAGUGAAAAAAUGUUUAAAUUACAUGUUCAGGCAUUUAAAGCUGUAAGAUUCACUUAUCUGGCACAUAGACAUUGUGAAAUACGUCAUUGUAUAACAUAAUGACAGAUAUGUGCGGCACACAGUGUAAUUAUAUCUACUUCCAGAAGCAGAACGUCUAAAUAAAGAACAAGUUGAUAGCAAAA
This is a long non-coding RNA of Sapajus apella (tufted capuchin), 892 nucleotides long. RefSeq lists it as uncharacterized. The record is from RefSeq and is a predicted model, not a curated record. The transcript is spliced from 2 exons. NCBI's taxonomy places the organism in Eukaryota, Metazoa, Chordata, Mammalia, Primates, Cebidae.